Long non-coding RNA from Canis lupus familiaris (dog), 790 nucleotides. RefSeq lists it as uncharacterized. NCBI's taxonomy places the organism in Eukaryota, Metazoa, Chordata, Mammalia, Carnivora, Canidae. The transcript is spliced from 5 exons. The record is from RefSeq and is a predicted model, not a curated record.
CAGGUGAUUAGUGACCGUUCACAUCUCAAAGGUGGAGGCCCCCAACUUCUACUCCUACUCCCAGACCUCUGGCCACCUCUGAACUUCUCAUGAAAGUUCCCUUUCCCCAGGAAAAAGGAAAAGUAUCUUCUAGUCACAUUCUUGGGCUGACCAUUCUGCAAAUGGAACUGUUCUCAGAUGUGAGAAGAAUUUGGCAAUCAUUAGAAUCAUAUCGAGGGAGUCUGGAGGUGAACUGUUUGAUGGCUCAUUUGCAUAGCACUAAAAUUCCUGAAGCCAGAGUUGAGGGGCUACUGUUCUCCCCUACUUCCCCAGGAUCAUGGUCAUCGUCAAUGUUCCAGGCAAAUCACUACCAAUCCAUCACUUCGUACUAACAAAGGAAGCUCCCUUCCCAUUCUUGUGGAGCCUAGGAAGGCUGAAGCCAGAGACUUAUUUUUCUUCCCAGGCCAUGAGGGUUAAUUCCUCCUUUUUACAGUUCUGAGAAAUCAAAGAAAUCAAAGCUUGGCCUCAUUCUCACCAAAAGAAAAGAACCCUUGCUAGGUUUUGACAAAAAGGAGACUAUUACAACAGGAAUGGAAUAAGUACUAUAAUCAAGAAACUCUCCAUAGGCUUCCCUGGCAUGCACAGGAAUAUGGAGUUCAGAUACAAAGUCUUUGCUGGAGAUACAAUAUCAGGAGUAUAUCCUAUAUAAUGACUCCCUCACCCAUGGGUUGAAAUAAUUUGUUCCUUAAAAACAUUCUGAUAGGGAUGCCUGGGUGGCUCAGCACUUGAGCAUCUGCCUUUGCCUCUGGAG